This 457-nucleotide ribosomal RNA is filed under the name uncultured bacterium. RNAcentral's name for it is "partial 16S ribosomal RNA". It matches the Rfam family "Bacterial small subunit ribosomal RNA", at positions 355 to 803 of the family's 1533-position model. The record is from RNAcentral.
UGGGGAAUUUUGGACAAUUGGGCGAAAGCCUGAUCCAGCAAUGCCGCGUGUGUGAAGAAGGCCUUCGGGUUGUAAAGCACUUUUGUCCGGAAAGAAAUCCUUGGCUCUAAUACAGUCGGGGGAUGACGGUACCGGAAGAAUAAGCACCGGCUAACUACGUGCCAGCAGCCGCGGUAAUACGUAGGGUGCAAGCGUUAAUCGGAAUUACUGGGCGUAAAGCGUGCGCAGGCGGUUUGCUAAGACCGAUGUGAAAUCCCCGGGCUCAACCUGGGAACUGCAUUGGUGACCGGCAGGCUAGAGUAUGGCAGAGGGGGGUUAGAAUUCCACGUGUAGCAGUGAAAUGCGUAGAGAUGUGGAGGAAUACCGAUGGCGAAGGCAGCCCCCUGGGCCAAUACUGAGCUCAUGCACGAAAGCGUGGGGAGCAAACAGGAUUAGAUACCCUGGUAGUCCACGCCCU